AAGUCUGACAGGCUUGAAGAAGUCUGGGCAUUAUUUGGACAAAGCCCUCAGGCACAGGGUGUGAUUCUUGGGGAUGUCCUGUCCAGGGCCAGGAUCUGGACUUGAUGAUCCUGAUGGGUCCCUUGAGCUCAGCACAUUCUGUGAUUCUGUUGGAAUACAGUCAGUGGUAAAUUGGACAAGUUAGGGCACAGGUAGAUUUAGUGCAAGCAGUAGAGAGGCCCUGAAGACUCAGGGAUAACAGAGAACACAGCAGUCAUUUGCUACACACCUAAUGCAAAUGCUAGAAUGGGUCUGUUGCAACAACUCCACCUAUUCAAUCAUUUGAAUAAUUUGAGGCAUUUGGCUUCCUUACCCUUUCAGAAGCAGUCUGAGUGCUGCUUUUGCUGACAGCCAUUCAUUCACGUGUCUCUUCAGGACAGCUCAUGAAUCUGCUUGCACCUCCUUAGCUCCCAGGCCUGGAUUUAUGCAUUUCAUCAGCCAUCUACUUUGGAGAGGAAUGGCAUAAAUUUCAACACAUCUGCUAUUUUUGCCUGCAAAAUAUUCAAAAUUGUUUCUGCAGAAGCUACGGGCAGCAGUGGGGGACAUUUAUUUAAAGAAACUUGGAACAAUGGAUCACUAGUGAUUAAAAUAAAAAUGGAAAUUACAUUCUGGAUGUAGGAGGCAAAUGAGUAUUGCAUUUACAAUACUCUGGCAUUUAGCAUAUAUGAACCAUCAUUGAAUAGUUGCAUUUUGGAAAUUUUGAAACCUGGUUGUCUUUUGAAAAAUGCAGAUUCAAGCUUCUCAUUUUAUGCUAAUGUGAAGAGGUAAAGGAGAAUACCAGUUUGUUGAAACAAGUGAAUUAGCAUGUGAAUGGCGCAUAUUGGACUUCUCCCUCUUGAAAUGGAGGCUUUCAAAGUACAAAGUAGGAUUUAAAUCUCACACUGUGAUUUUUCCCUUCUCAGAGCCCCAAAUCAUGUUACUUGUAGUGCAUUAAUAGGCUUUGAGCCUGUACCCCAUCGACUAGAGGUGCUGUCAUUUUUACUAAUAGCCAUAAUCUACAAAUCUUGCAAUCAAUGAAACAACCUGUUUUCUCUCCCCAUUCCUAAUUCUUCUUUUGGAUCUCACUUUCAGUUUUCAGAGCUGAUGGUUAUGAAAACAUUUCCAAAGUAAGAAUGUGAAUGGCAAGCCGGCCUGGACUCUCUCCUUCCUCAUCAAAUCCUUUUUUUUCUGAGGACUGCACUGUCAGCCUUGCCAGAGAGGUUUGCCUUCAGUGCUGAUUUACUCCUUGCAAAUAAGAUGGGCUUGCAGCAAUAUAUUGCUGACAAAGCUAGGCUGCAGUGACACAGGAGAAUUAGUGCUGCUAAAGAGAAGAGACUUGGGGAGGUAAUUUCAGGAAUGUUUCCAGCACCUGAGUGACUAAAAUCUCACAGCUCAAACAGCCUAAUCCCAUGCUGCAACAAGUCAAGCCACCAUAAGCAGACUCUGACAUUUUUUGCUCAUGUGAAGUAGAAACUCAGGAAUCUCU
Molecule: long non-coding RNA, 1504 nt
Filed under: Junco hyemalis (dark-eyed junco)
Lineage: Eukaryota; Metazoa; Chordata; Aves; Passeriformes; Passerellidae
Description: lncRNA (ENSJHYG00000009711.1)
Source: RNAcentral